RNAcentral lists this ribosomal RNA (650 nucleotides) under Dyseriocrania auricyanea. RNAcentral's name for it is "SSU rRNA". It matches the Rfam family "Eukaryotic small subunit ribosomal RNA", at positions 81 to 710 of the family's 1831-position model. Lineage: Eukaryota; Metazoa; Arthropoda; Insecta; Lepidoptera; Eriocraniidae. The record is from RNAcentral.
GCGAUACCGCGAAUGGCUCAAUAUAUCAGUUUUGGUUCCUUAGAUCUUACUCAGUUACUUGGAUAACUGUGGCAAUUCUAGAGCUAAUACAUGCAAUCAGAGCUCCGACCAGAGAUGGAAAGAGCGCUUUUAUUAGAUCAAAACCAAUCGACGGAGGUGGCGACACCGAUGUCGUUUAAUUUGAUGAAUCUGGAUAACUUUUGCCGAUCGCACGGUCUCGUACCGGCGACGCAUCUUUCAAAUGUCUGCCUUAUCAACUUUCGAUGGUAGUUUCUGCGACUACCAUGGUUGUCACGGGUAACGGGGAAUCAGGGUUCGAUUCCGGAGAGGGAGCCUGAGAAACGGCUACCACAUCCAAGGAAGGCAGCAGGCGCGCAAAUUACCCACUCCCGGCACGGGGAGGUAGUGACGAAAAAUAACGAUACGGGACUCAUAUGAGGCCUCGUAAUCGGAAUGAGUACACUUUAAAUAUUUUAACGAGGAACAAUUGGAGGGCAAGUCUGGUGCCAGCAGCCGCGGUAAUUCCAGCUCCAAUAGCGUAUACUAAAAUUGUUGCGGUUAAAAAGCUCGUAGUUGCAUUUGUGCGCCGCGCUGUCGGUGCACGCAUCCGCGGUGAUACUGGCACGUUUGCGGAGCAUAUCGUCGGUGAG